UACGGGGGGGGCAAGCGUUGUUCGGAAUUACUGGGCGUAAAGGGCUCGUAGGCGGCCAACUAAGUCAGACGUGAAAUCCCUCGGCUUAACCGGGGAACUGCGUCUGAUACUGGAUGGCUUGAGUUUGGGAGAGGGAUGCGGAAUUCCAGGUGUAGCGGUGAAAUGCGUAGAUAUCUGGAGGAACACCGGUGGCGAAGGCGGCAUCCUGGACCGGUUCUGACACUGAGGAGCGAAAGCGUGGGGAGCGAUCCGG
RNAcentral lists this ribosomal RNA (253 nucleotides) under uncultured bacterium. Its description in RNAcentral is "partial 16S ribosomal RNA". It matches the Rfam family "Bacterial small subunit ribosomal RNA", at positions 524 to 776 of the family's 1533-position model. The record is from RNAcentral.